UUUUAACUGUAACAUGAUAGUAAAUGCCCGUGAACAAGUUGAGAUCUUUCCCAUCUUGUGAUUUUAUUCGGAGAAAUGUAACUGUGUUCUUGUCCUGUGACAUGAUAUUUAUGAGAAAUCUAUUGUACUUGAAUGGGAGAGGGGGGUGUGCAAUAUUGGUAAUUUAAUGGCAGUUCAAAGUUCAAGUGUAAUGAGAAAUGUGAGAUGAUUUUAUUGAUUUAAGUGUUACACUCUUUUUGACUUUAAAUCCUUGCAUAGUAUUCACCUUUCGCCGUACAAUGAUAUGUUGUAUGUGUGAAUGUGGUGGAACAUCACAUAAAUCUAACACACUCGCUGAAAUUGUAUCCGAUUUUGUCGGCUGACUGAAUGAAUUUGAAACAUGGCCAAUUUUUUAUUUUUAUCAAACCACAUAUGCAUAUCCCACUAGCAUAACAAAGAAGGUGCAUUAGUUUCUACUAACUAACCAAAACGACAUAAAUAGUCCGCUUGCAUCACGAAAAGGUUAGGGUUAGUUUGGCAUGAUUAAUUAGGUAAUGACGCUCAUGUGCAAAAUUUGAGAUUUAAAGCCUACAUUUUUUCCUGCAUUGGGUUACUUGAUUUUCAUUUAAUUCUCAUUAUUUAUUUUAUACAGUAUUGAUUUUCAUUUCAGAGGUAUGCAUAUCUACGUAACUACCAGUAUGGGUUAAUUUUUCAUAGAUUUUCUUUAAUCUUUGAAAGAAUUUCAAACAAAAUGAAUGUAUGACAUACAGAUUAAAUUCUUCAUCCAAAAUAGUUCCAUAGUUCCAUCCAUCAACAAUGGUGUCUUUUCAAAAACGCUGACUGCAAUAUGAAAUUUCAGAAUUCAUUCAAAUGGCCAAGUUUUGAAAAAAGUUAAAAAUGGCUAUAUGAUAGCGUAACAAAGAAUGUAUUAGUUUCUAUCACUCUUAGAACUGUGGUAAUAAAAAUGCAAACUCGUUUAUUACCGAGCAGUUGGUAAACAUUGAUUUUUCCAUCACAGUAAUAAAAUUGUUUACCAAAAUUCAUUAUAAUACAAAAAAUGUAUUUAUUAUUGCUUGGUAUUAUCGGGAAAACUCGAACGGUAUCGUAAAGUUACCAAGUUAUAUUAAUUUAAUACUGCAGUGAGAGAACAUGAAUAAUACUGCGCCGUAUUAAAUCAUUUAGCUAGCGGGUAAUGAGCUAAAACUUUCAUGCGGUGUAUUUUUAUUACUACUCCGGUAAAUAUUUUUCCAAACUCGAUAAUAAAGUUAACGCGCACUCAUACAAAAGAAGCACAAUCUCCAGAAAAUUACUUCGUGUUUAAAAUUAUUUUCAAGCCAGAAAAUUGAUUCUUAAAGGUAGAUUUAAAGUCACUGUAAAGUUUGCUGCGAAACUGGUCAAGCUAUAAAGGGAUACAUCAGUAAUUAAGGAUAAGAAGUCAUUUGCUGAAGCCAUUGUUGAGACUUUGCUAUUUUGGACAUCCCGUGGGACUGCUAACUGGAGUUGUAAAUUUUAAAUUUAAUAUACAAUUUUUGAACUUUUAACUAAUGGAUAUUGUGUAUACUCUUGACCUACAUAAAUAAAAAUAUGAUUUAACAAAA
Folsomia candida is the source of this 1577-nucleotide long non-coding RNA. RefSeq lists it as uncharacterized. The record is from RefSeq and is a predicted model, not a curated record. The transcript has 3 exons. NCBI's taxonomy places the organism in Eukaryota, Metazoa, Arthropoda, Collembola, Entomobryomorpha, Isotomidae.